UACGUAGGUGACAAGCGUUGUCCGGAUUUACUGGGCGUAAAGAGCGCGCAGGCGGUCGUUCAAGUCGAGUGUGAAAGCCCCCGGCUCAACUGGGGAGGGUCAUUCGAUACUGAUCGACUCGAAGGCAGGAGAGGGAAGUGGAAUUCCCGGUGUAGUGGUGAAAUGCGCAGAUAUCAGGAGGAACACCGGUGGCGAAGGCGGUUCUCUGGGCAUGUCCUGACGCUGAGGAGCGAAAGCGUGGGGAGCAAACAGG
RNAcentral lists this ribosomal RNA (253 nucleotides) under uncultured bacterium. RNAcentral describes it as "partial 16S ribosomal RNA". It matches the Rfam family "Bacterial small subunit ribosomal RNA", at positions 524 to 776 of the family's 1533-position model. The record is from RNAcentral.